CCGGGACACCAGCCUCUGGACCUCCUGACUGUAGGCGUCCAGACCUCCGGCAGCUUGAAGCUCAACCACCAGAGACAGGGAGGGAGACGGCUGCAUCCUGAAGGUGAUGCAUCCCAUCAGGCAGUGGGUGUCCAGGGUGUGGCAGCGGGCGGUGCCUUUCGGUGAGGUCAGAGAGGUCAUGUAGGUGUGUGUGCCUCUCGCCAUCGACCAGGUGACAUUUGUCAUGGCCUGAGUCACCUGUUCAACGUUAAAGGUUGCCGGGCAACAGGGUGCUAGAGGACGAAUGUUUCCAUGGUUCCCUACCUGUUUCCAGUGGAAUACUGUAGCUGGGAAAACUGUCGCCCACGGUGGUGGUUGCUAUGGCGCUGACCUCAUAGACCUUGCCACAGGGCAGGUCAAGUAUCUCACAGGACGUUCCUCUGGAAGUGCAGGUGUUUCUGUUGUCCUGGGCCACUACGCUCACUUUGUAGGUGGUACCUGCUCUGUUGGGAGUACUAAAGCUGACAUUGACACUGGUGGUGUUGAUCUGGGUCACAUUCAGGAUCUCUGGCAUACAGGGAGCUGAGAAAGAGAAAGUGAAGGAGAGAGGAAGUGGCAUGGGGAGGGUUAGCGUCACAGUGAUCUUUUACCUGUGGGUGUAAUGACACACAUGUUUUCCCAUUCAUCCAAAUAAACUGGUGAUAUGAUUAGUUAGCAGACACUUUUCUAUGUGGCAAUUUUUCUUAAAGAUGUUUGUGUUACCUGUCUCCUUAGUGUGUGAUCUGCAGGUGUGGUUGCACCCUCUAAUCUCAUUACAGGGGAUCACCACCACACUGUAGGGGCUGUUACAGGUGAGGUCGGAGAGAGCGCACACUGGUGCCGUGUCGUUACACAGGAUGACCUCUGACCCUUCCACCGCCCGCGUCUCGUACACCUCAGCCCCACGCACUGCUGACCACAUGAUCUCCAGGGUGCCGGGGGAGGCCAGUGAGAUGAACACGUCCUCGGGACAACAGGGUGGUGUAGUUGAGCACGGGGCCCGGUGGGCUGGAUCCAGCCAGGCUGAAGGCGAACACAGUCAUCAGGUGAUGAACUCCUCAGGGGCAGAAGGUAUGCUGGGUCCUCCCUCGUUGAUGGCUGUCACGGUGACGGUGUGUCUCUGGCCACACCCCACAGGGGCCAGGGUGCAGGUGCCGGUGGUAGAGGUACAGUUCAGCCCCUCUGAGCUGAAGGCCAGGUACUCCCCUGCCCCCUGAGAUGGAGCCCAGGACACAGACAGACCGGCCUCAGAGCCCACCAUCCUCACCUCCAACUCAGUGAGCACAGGGAUGCAUGGACCUGGAGGGUGGAGAGAGAAACAACAUGAGCACACACACAAUUAGACGGUGAAUGUGAAUGUGAGAUACAAGGGACAAUACCUGUCUUUGCUACCACAGGGAGGGAAGGCUGGCUCCUGCCUCCGCUGUUGAUGGACAUGACACUGAGAGUGUAGUCGGUGUAGGCCUGAAGGUUGAGCACGGUCCCAGGGGAAGAGGACACCUCGGUUUCGUAGAAGAAGGACAUGUCGGCGGUCUCGGCACGCAGGAUGUAGGAAGUGGCACCGGACACCUGAGUGAACUCCACGGUCAUGCUCUCACUCUGUUUUGAUGUUGCCAUGUUGAUGGUGGGCACCUCAGAAGCUACAGAAGGACAAAAAACAAGAAGAGGGAAUUGUUGAAACUCACGUAAGGAGAUACCCACAUGGAAAUGUAAGGAUUGUAACCAGUUACACCACAAUAAUCAUACCUGGUUUUAUUUUUCACUAUAAGCCCACUGUUAUAAUAUACUUUAUAUUUCUUAUGAGAGGUUGUCCCUUAACAUUGCUCUCUAGAUUUGAUAUAUUCCCUUAUAGCUCUGAUGAGAGAGAAAAACAGAACUGGCCCUGGAGCGGUGAUUAAUGACAGAUUGUUUACGAGAUCACAACAUAAUGUAUAGCCUAUUGUUUCACCAUCAUCUCCUUAGGGUCACAUAGGAGACACUGAUUUUACCGGUGGUCUCUUCUACUUCAGCCUGGCUCAAAACAUUCAGGCUGUUAUCCAUGGCCUCAGCCCUGAUGAUGUACAUGUUGUUGGGGGUUAGAGAGUUGAUGGAGCCCAUCACAGAGUUGGCACCGAACUGGGCGAAGGCUGAGGCAUCCAGGGAGUUCUUGGAGGUUGCUGUGAUCUUGUAGGAACUGGCUCCUGAGCAUCUGCUCCACUGCACUGUCAUACUCUUAGAUGUUACGGUGAAUAUCGACACUGUGAUUUCUAUAUGAGGUGAGAGAUAGAAUCACUGUCAAAUGCUGGGUUCAUGUCUGGAUCAAAUUAGAAAAUGUUAUAGCACUACUAUUGCAUACAUGUACUACAAUUACAUGAUCAUUCUAGUGUAAUAAUCAGGAUUCUUUUAAUCCACUUUCAUCCGACCAUUUUCUGCAGUUGAAAAAUAUAGACUGUUUAGGAAUGUACAUGUAUUGUGACAAAAAUAUAAAUGUUUUACCUGAUGAAGCUGAACUCUGGAAGUAAAAACAGAAAAGGAAGUAAAAACCGUUAAAAAAUAUAUAUAUAAUACUUUAAGGGAAUGUAAAACAAAUUAUAUUACACAAUGUUCAUACCAUGAGAGGUUUUAUGAAAUUCAAGCAAUCACUUUCCUGGAAUGAAUGUUCCCUACUCAAGGUUAAUCUUACAGUACACCUGAUGACAGGUAUGCCAGUCAAUAAGGCAGUGUUCCCUCUAGAUAGCUCAUUCCUUUUCCUCCAACAGACUAUUCAUGUUCUUUGAUGUUAUUGCAAUAGUAAUGUAUUUGAAAUAUAUGCUAUGUCCUACACAAAUAGCACAGGUAUAAAGAAUCAAAAGUAAUCCUUCUUACCUGAGAGCCUAUGCCUAUCAAGGCGAAAAUCACCAUCCAAUGAAUAAAUCCCAUUCUUUUUUUUCUUCUUGA
Molecule: long non-coding RNA, 2934 nt
Organism: Oncorhynchus kisutch (coho salmon)
Lineage: Eukaryota; Metazoa; Chordata; Actinopteri; Salmoniformes; Salmonidae
Exons: 6
Source: RefSeq, a predicted model, not a curated record